UUUAUGGAGAGUUUGAUCCUGGCUCAGGACGAACGCUGGCGGCGUGCCUAAUACAUGCAAGUCGAGCGGAUCUUCAAGGGAGCUUGCUCCUAAGAAGGUUAGCGGCGGACGGGUGAGUAACACGUAGGCAACCUGCCCUCAAGACCGGGAUAACAUUCGGAAACGAAUGCUAAGACCGGAUACGCAAGAAGGAGGCAUCUUCUUCUUGGGAAACACGGCGCAAGCUGUGGCUUGAGGAUGGGCCUGCGGCGCAUUAGCUAGUUGGCGGGGUA
Molecule: ribosomal RNA, 272 nt
Filed under: Cohnella xylanilytica
Lineage: Bacteria; Bacillati; Bacillota; Bacilli; Caryophanales; Paenibacillaceae
Description: Bacterial small subunit ribosomal RNA
Rfam family: Bacterial small subunit ribosomal RNA
Source: Rfam by way of RNAcentral